RNAcentral lists this unclassified non-coding RNA (304 nucleotides) under plant metagenome. Its description in RNAcentral is "partial contains 5.8S ribosomal RNA, internal transcribed spacer 2, and large subunit ribosomal RNA". The stretch from base 1 to 104 matches the Rfam family "5.8S ribosomal RNA", at positions 51 to 154 of the family's 154-position model. The record is from RNAcentral.
AAAUGCGAUAAGUAAUGUGAAUUGCAGUAUUCAGUGAAUCAUCGAAUCUUUGAACGCACAUUGCGCCCGCCAGUAUUCUGGCGGGCAUGCCUGUUCGAGCGUCAUUUCAACCAUCAAGCCCCGGGCUUGUGUUGGGGACCUGCGGCUGCCGCAGGCCCUGAAAACCAGUGGCGGGCUCGCUGUCACACCGAGCGUAGUAGAUUCUCAUCUCGCUCAGGGCGUGCUGCGGGUUCCGGCCGUAAAACAGCCUUAUUUUACCCAAGGUUGACCUCGGAUCAGGUAGGAAGACCCGCUGAACUUAAGC